Molecule: long non-coding RNA, 618 nt
Filed under: Rattus norvegicus (Norway rat)
Lineage: Eukaryota; Metazoa; Chordata; Mammalia; Rodentia; Muridae
Description: long non-coding RNA NONRATT010380
Source: RNAcentral
UGGCCCCCAUGAGUAACUACAGACACACACUGGAAAAAGAAGUAAUAAAGAGAUCCUAACAGAUACCCACACAGGCACUUUCCUGCUGUUUUGGCUGUUGAACCUAAGCAAAUAGCUUUUUCUCUGUUUCUAUGUCAGUGGAGGACAUCAGAGCCCAAGGCCUUCCUUUACAGGCUGUGCCCCUGAGCGAGAGUACCCCGAGCCCACAGCGAAGUUCUUCAGUACCAGGGAGAGAUGAAGGCAGUAACAUGUUCCAUCUGUCAGCAUUUCGAGGAACUCACUCCUCCUACACUUUCUCAGUACAGGAGCCAUAGCUCAUGACAAACUUAGAGCAGGGCUAAUCAAGUCCCAAAUGAAGCUUUUGAUGUUUUCAUCCCCACGGUAGUGUAGAAGACAGUACACAAGGAUGGCUCGGCAUAUUGUCUCCACAUCUCUUUCAGUCAUGCGCCGCUUAAAUCGUCCAUGAGACAGAAUAUCUCUCCAACGUCCCCAACUAACAAAACAGGGGGAGCAAACAACACAAAUGUUUUAGGAGAGAUUCAAAUUCAGUGAUAUUUCCCUGGCUCCCAGAAUUGUCAUCUCCUCCAAAAGUAAAAAAUAAACAGACGCUCCCUUAUG